Molecule: long non-coding RNA, 129 nt
Organism: Sphaeramia orbicularis (orbiculate cardinalfish)
Lineage: Eukaryota; Metazoa; Chordata; Actinopteri; Kurtiformes; Apogonidae
Exons: 3
Source: RefSeq, a predicted model, not a curated record
AAUUUUAAAUUCAACUGAGAGAAACUUUUUCCCAUACUUUGUUAAGACUUUCACACAAAAAUUCCAGACUUUUCAAGGUCUGGACAACAACGUUUCAAAAUUCUAUACUUUUUAAGAAAUUUAAGACCU